RNAcentral lists this ribosomal RNA (253 nucleotides) under uncultured bacterium. RNAcentral's name for it is "partial 16S ribosomal RNA". It matches the Rfam family "Bacterial small subunit ribosomal RNA", at positions 524 to 776 of the family's 1533-position model. The record is from RNAcentral.
UACGUAGGCAGCGAGCGUUGUUCGGAGUUACUGGGCGUAAAGCGUGCGUAGGCGGUUUUGUAAGUUUGGUGUGAAAUCUCCCGGCUCAACUGGGAGGGUGCGCCGAAAACUGCAAGGCUGGAGUGUGGGAGAGGUAGGCGGAAUUCCUGGUGUAGCGGCGAAAUGCGUAGAUAUCGGGAGGAACACCAGUGGCGAAGGCGACUUCCUGGCCUGUUCUUGACGCUGAGGCGCGAAAGCUAGGGUAGCAAACGGG